AAAUUGAAGAGUUUGAUCAUGGCUCAGAUUGAACGCUGGCGGCAGGCCUAACACAUGCAAGUCGAGCGGUAGCACAGAGAGCUUGCUCUCGGGUGACGAGCGGCGGACGGGUGAGUAAUGUCUGGGAAACUGCCUGAUGGAGGGGGAUAACUACUGGAAACGGUAGCUAAUACCGCAUAACGUCGCAAGACCAAAGUGGGGGACCUUCGGGCCUCAUGCCAUCAGAUGUGCCCAGAUGGGAUUAGCUAGUAGGUGGGGUAACGGCUCACCUAGGCGACGAUCCCUAGCUGGUCUGAGAGGAUGACCAGCCACACUGGAACUGAGACACGGUCCAGACUCCUACGGGAGGCAGCAGUGGGGAAUAUUGCACAAUGGGCGCAAGCCUGAUGCAGCCAUGCCGCGUGUGUGAAGAAGGCCUUCGGGUUGUAAAGCACUUUCAGCGGGGAGGAAGGCGUUAAGGUUAAUAACCUUGGCGAUUGACGUUACCCGCAGAAGAAGCACCGGCUAACUCCGUGCCAGCAGCCGCGGUAAUACGGAGGGUGCAAGCGUUAAUCGGAAUUACUGGGCGUAAAGCGCACGCAGGCGGUCUGUCAAGUCGGAUGUGAAAUCCCCGGGCUCAACCUGGGAACUGCAUUCGAAACUGGCAGGCUAGAGUCUUGUAGAGGGGGGUAGAAUUCGGGUGUAGCGGUGAAAUGCGUAGAGAUCUGGAGGAAUACCGGUGGCGAAGGCGGCCCCCUGGACAAAGACUGACGCUCAGGUGCGAAAGCGUGGGGAGCAAACAGGAUUAGAUACCCCGGUAGUCCACGCCGUAAACGAUGUCGAUUUGGAGGUUGUGCCCUUGAGGCGUGGCUUCCGGAGCUAACGCGUUAAAUCGACCGCCUGGGGAGUACGGCCGCAAGGUUAAAACUCAAAUGAAUUGACGGGGGCCCGCACAAGCGGUGGAGCAUGUGGUUUAAUUCGAUGCAACGCGAAGAACCUUACCUGGUCUUGACAUCCACAGAACUUUCCAGAGAUGGAUUGGUGCCUUCGGGAACUGUGAGACAGGUGCUGCAUGGCUGUCGUCAGCUCGUGUUGUGAAAUGUUGGGUUAAGUCCCGCAACGAGCGCAACCCUUAUCCUUUGUUGCCAGCGGUCCGGCCGGGAACUCAAAGGAGACUGCCAGUGAUAAACUGGAGGAAGGUGGGGAUGACGUCAAGUCAUCAUGGCCCUUACGACCAGGGCUACACACGUGCUACAAUGGCAUAUACAAAGAGAAGCGACCUCGCGAGAGCAAGCGGACCUCAUAAAGUAUGUCGUAGUCCGGAUUGGAGUCUGCAACUCGACUCCAUGAAGUCGGAAUCGCUAGUAAUCGUAGAUCAGAAUGCUACGGUGAAUACGUUCCCGGGCCUUGUACACACCGCCCGUCACACCAUGGGAGUGGGUUGCAAAAGAAGUAGGUAGCUUAACCUUCGGGAGGGCGCUUACCACUUUGUGAUUCAUGACUGGGGUGAAGUCGUAACAAGGUAACCGUAGGGGAACCUGCGGUUGGAUCACCUCCUUACCUUAAAGAA
RNAcentral lists this ribosomal RNA (1549 nucleotides) under Klebsiella pneumoniae. Its description in RNAcentral is "bacterial SSU rRNA". It matches the Rfam family "Bacterial small subunit ribosomal RNA". Lineage: Bacteria; Pseudomonadati; Pseudomonadota; Gammaproteobacteria; Enterobacterales; Enterobacteriaceae. The record is from RNAcentral.